Cebus imitator (Panamanian white-faced capuchin) is the source of this 979-nucleotide long non-coding RNA. RefSeq lists it as uncharacterized. The transcript is spliced from 2 exons. NCBI's taxonomy places the organism in Eukaryota, Metazoa, Chordata, Mammalia, Primates, Cebidae. The record is from RefSeq and is a predicted model, not a curated record.
UAUUAAUUGUCAUAGGUUUCCUUCCUAUAAUUAAGCAGAAACUAGCUCCUGAAAAGCAUUGCCAAAUAACUACAGCUGGAAAACUUCCCAUCUGACACUGACAGCCUGCCGGUUUCCAGCCUGUUGAGACAGCCCGGUAAAAAGGGCUCCCUGGCAGCAUCUCCGACCUGCCUGCGCACCGGGAGGAGCGCGCACUGGGGUGGAGCCUUGGGGAAGUUCCUGCCGUUUUGCAGUGGGGAGGAGCCUGGCCUCUCCAGUUCGCGGUGGUAAUCUGGUGAUUCGGUCUGUGAGCUUUAGGAAGUCACCAUGAAUCAGCCUUAUGUUUCCUGCCUCCAGACCCUAUUCUCCUGCCUCAUUGGGAUUCAUCAAAGACACAACAUGACCCAUGGAGAACAGAGAGGAGCAAGACAGGACAACUGCCCACCCAGGAGUGACACAGAGCCAGGGGAAACUCCCUCUCCUAGGGAAAUGGUGAGUAGAAAAUUCUAGGGACCCACACUUUUUCCUAGACCUUGGCAGCCCUGGGGCCAGGAGAUCCCCUAAUGAAUCUCUUCUACCAGGGCCUUCAGUCUGACAUGCCGAGCUAUAUGGAGUCUUCACAAAGCUGCUGCUCAGACAUUCCUGCAGAGUCAAGGGAGCCUUGGGUCCCUGGACAGCCAGGCAGUAGGGGCUGAAGCUCCAGCAAAGGAGGAAAUUAGCCUUUUUUACAUGCCCCCAGGAAAGAGGCUGAGUUCAGGGAGCUGAGCAGCUACAGCUUAGCUGCAGGAUAAGACUCACUGGUCUGGGAUUCCAGCUGCCUACCACCAGUGAUCUGAGGCCAACACCAGCUCUGUACCUUCUUGAGACGAAGCUCCCAAAGGGAGGGACGGGCUGCCAUGUUUUCUGUUUCCUGGCCUUUGCUGCUGGUGCCUUUGGGUUCUAAGGAGUCCAAGGUAACUGAAAGCAGCACAGUUAAAAAAAAAAAAAAAAAAAGGGAAUA